Molecule: transfer RNA, 73 nt
Filed under: Myotis davidii
Lineage: Eukaryota; Metazoa; Chordata; Mammalia; Chiroptera; Vespertilionidae
Rfam family: tRNA
About the family: Transfer RNA (tRNA) molecules are approximately 80 nucleotides in length. Their secondary structure includes four short double-helical elements and three loops (D, anti-codon, and T loops).
Source: Rfam by way of RNAcentral
GCUGGUUUGGCUCAGUGGACAGAGCAUCGGCCUGUGGACCAAAGUGUCCCAGGUUCGAUUCCGGGAAAGGGCA